UCCCAUCCUGGACUGCCCCACCCCACAGACACACCAGGACAAUGCACAGCCACCCACAGCAGAGGCUCUCACCCCACACCCCCUUGCACCAGAGGAGCUCAGCCAUGCAGGGAGGGGUGCAAUGGCACAGCUCAGCUUCCUCCGAAGCAGAACCCACAUCUGGACAGCUGUGCCCAAAAGGGAGUCUGAGAAAUACCCUCUGAGUAUGGUGUUUGUUCACAUGCAUCUGAUUUAUAGAGCACAAAGACAACCACAAUGGGCUACAUGGACAUGGAGGAUUUUCUGAAAUCUCACUCAAGUGAAGCUCCACCAGCACCAGCAUUACUAAUCCUGCUUGAGCAAAGUUAUGCAAAAAUAUGGUACAAAUAUGAACAGGAACCAAAGCAUACUCUGCUUUAUGAAACCAAUGUUUUUUAUUAGGUAUUCCUGGUGGGAAAAGGGAUAAAAGCUGUAGGGGACAAAAAGUUGUCAAUGAAACUUAUUAGACUAAUGAAUCCAAGUUUAACCUCUGUAUAAACCAGCUGGAGUGAAGAAUGCCACUCUCUGUCUACUCUAGGCAGCCAAGUAGAAGGAAAAACCUUAGAAAAAGGUAAAAGCUGAAGAAGGCUGUCCCUAUACCAACAGAGAUAGUGUGGAGAGGCAUUUUGAAUGGAGAAGCUGCUCCCACAAAGUGCCAAACGUCCACAACCUGGAUGAGCCACAAGCUGGGAAAACAGUGGAAAGCUUCCUGAUUUAUUGGUGUGCUGGAAGACAGGGCAGGGAGCCAACUGAUGGAAGUGUAGUUGAAUGAAAGAUUGAAUCCUCACAUGUACACCAGUUAUUUAUUUUUCAAGGUUGGGAUUGAAGGUAUUUGAGAUGGCAUUUUAUGUUUGGACUUAGGUGUUUAUUAUUUUUUAUUUAUGUUACAGUCUCACUAUCGUGAGUUUGGUAGUUUUUUCAUUAGUAAGGUACAAAAUAGUUAAUUAACUUUUGUUACAAGGUUUUUUAAAACUAAACUAUUUAAUUAAGAAAGGACACCUAGAUUAUUUUUCCUUUUAACCCAAUAACUGAUACCCCAAUAUUUUUUUCUGUCUAAUCACAAAACAUCACUUAAACUCAUGAAGAAGAAGGAAGAAGGUAAAGAAGAACAACUUGUUUCUGCUUUAAAACUUCUAUUUUGCUUCAUAUUUAUUUUAAUAUUUUAAAAUAUUAAACUCUAAGUUUUCUGCUUGGUCAUAUUACACACUUCU
This 1229-nucleotide long non-coding RNA is filed under the name Chloebia gouldiae (Gouldian finch). RNAcentral's name for it is "Erythrura gouldiae (Gouldian finch) lncRNA (ENSEGOG00005004188.1)". The record is from RNAcentral. Lineage: Eukaryota; Metazoa; Chordata; Aves; Passeriformes; Passeridae.